RNA transcript from Xenia sp. Carnegie-2017, 978 nucleotides. RefSeq lists it as uncharacterized. The record is from RefSeq and is a predicted model, not a curated record. The transcript is spliced from 4 exons. NCBI's taxonomy places the organism in Eukaryota, Metazoa, Cnidaria, Anthozoa, Malacalcyonacea, Xeniidae.
UUUCCCAAACCUCAGUACAUACUAUUACAGCUCAGUAAAAGCACAAGCAGCAGAGUUUCGAAUAGCCUGAAAGCAUGAAAUCUACAACACUUUUGGCGUCUAUCUUAUUUAUCUUAGGUCUAGUCUGUUUAAGCAAUGGCUGCAAAAGUCGGUCGGCAGAGAAUUUGCCCGUGGAAGAAAGUGUCUCGACAGAAGUGAAGAAAAGCAAUGAAAGGAACUAUCGGCCAAUAAUGACCUCAAUGGAAGUAACUAAAGAUAGUGGACACCAAACAGAUUUUUACAUCAAAUCAGAGAAUGAGAGCAGGCACUUGGAAAUGAACAAAGACAAAUCCAAUAUGGAAAAAAACUCACAAUUUGGUAAAGAAAGCAUUUCUGAGAAAGAGCCAAAGACUGAAGAUAACAAUGAAAAAAAAGUAACGCAAGAUCAUUUGGAGAGAAAGCAGAAUAAGCUCCAGCUAUGAAAAACAGUGUAUCGAGACUUAGUGGACCAGUACAAUGGAUUUCACGUUUCAUCUCAAUGUUUCUUUAGGUUUUUAUCUAGUAUGUAGCCCAGGUACGUAUAUGUUUUAAUGUUGUUUAUUGGUGUAUCACGAUAGUUGAUUUGCAUCUGACGAUUUUGGAGUGAGAUCCUUUUUGCUGUUCCAAAUAACAUAGCCUCAGUCUUACCCUUUUUCAGAUUAAUGAUCAGUUCAUUCUCAUCAACAUAAUCAGCAAUAAGCUUUCAACCAUUUGUUAACGUUUUUUCAAUCUCUUCAACAUUUUUACCAGCUGAAUAAAUUACUGAGUCAUCAGCAUACAUCAAAAACUGACUCUCGCUGAUACAAUCAGGAAUGUAAAAAUAUAAAAGAUGAUAAAAAGAAGUGGACCCAGUAUUGACUCUUGAGGAACACCAUUGUAAACUGUUUGAAUAUUUGAUAGUCUUGUACCUAAGUGAACAACUUGUUGCCUUUCAAAUAAAUAAUCAGUAAACAGCUCUAA